AACGAACGCUGGCGGCAGGCCUAACACAUGCAAGUCGAACGAGAAGCCACCUUCGGGUGGUGGAAAGUGGCAGACGGGGUGAGUAACGCGUGGGAACGUGCCUUUCGGUUCGGAAUAACCCCAGGGAAACUUGGGCUAAUACCGGAUACGCCCUUCGGGGGAAAGAUUUAUCGCCGAAAGAUUGGCCCGCGUCGGAUUAGCUUGUUGGUGGGGUAAAAGCCUACCAAGGCGACGAUCCGUAGCUGGUCUGAGAGGAUGAUCAGCCACACUGGGGCUGAGACACGGCCCAGACUCCUACGGGAGGCAGCAGUGGGGAAUAUUGGACAAUGGGCGAAAGCCUGAUCCAGCCAUGCCGCGUGGGUGAAGAAGGCCCUAGGGUUGUAAACCCCUUUCAGCGGGGAAGAUAAUGACGGUACCCGCAGAAGAAGCCCCGGCUAACUCCGUG
This 445-nucleotide ribosomal RNA is filed under the name uncultured bacterium. RNAcentral describes it as "bacterial SSU rRNA". It matches the Rfam family "Bacterial small subunit ribosomal RNA", at positions 29 to 507 of the family's 1533-position model. The record is from RNAcentral.